UGAGUAACUUGCCCUUAACUCUGGGAUAAGCCUGGGAAACUGGGUCUAAUACCGGAUAUGACUCCUCAUCGCAUGGUGGGGGGUGGAAAGCUUUAUUGUGGUUUUGGAUGGACUCGCGGCCUAUCAGCUUGUUGGUGAGGUAAUGGCUCACCAAGGCGACGACAGGUAGCCGGCCUGAGAGGGCGAUCGGCCACACUGGGACUGAGACACGGCCCAGACUCCGUACGG
Molecule: ribosomal RNA, 228 nt
Filed under: uncultured bacterium
Lineage: Bacteria
Description: partial 16S ribosomal RNA
Rfam family: Bacterial small subunit ribosomal RNA
Source: RNAcentral